Molecule: long non-coding RNA, 343 nt
Organism: Hibiscus syriacus
Lineage: Eukaryota; Viridiplantae; Streptophyta; Magnoliopsida; Malvales; Malvaceae
Exons: 2
Source: RefSeq, a predicted model, not a curated record
AAUAUGAGCACUUGAAACGGUUUGAAAUUCUGCUUUGUCUAUGCUGCCUACCACCUUCUGCUUGCAUUUGUCACAUAUUUAGAAAUUAAAAGAAAAACUUUAAUUUGGCCUCCUGCCUUAAAUAAUAUACAAUUUUCAUUUUAGUUUCAUAUCAGUUUCAGAAGAGACAUUGCCGACAUCCCAUCAGCACUUUCUGAAAUCAUUAGAUUUUGUUUUAAUGUAGGAAGUAAAUUACAUGGAGAAAAUGAAGGCAGUCAGUUGGAAAGCAAAGAUGUGGCGGACGCCGUGGUAAGAAAAAUAAAGCUCACUGUGCUGAUCAGUUUGUUGUUAAUAUGUUCAUUAU